RNAcentral lists this ribosomal RNA (708 nucleotides) under Pedobacter suwonensis. RNAcentral's name for it is "bacterial SSU rRNA". It matches the Rfam family "Bacterial small subunit ribosomal RNA", at positions 56 to 762 of the family's 1533-position model. Lineage: Bacteria; Pseudomonadati; Bacteroidota; Sphingobacteriia; Sphingobacteriales; Sphingobacteriaceae. The record is from RNAcentral.
UGCAGUCGAACGAGAUUAUCCAGCUUGCUGGAUAUGAAAGUGGCGCACGGGUGCGUAACGCGUAUGCAACCUACCUUUAUCUGGGGGAUAGCCCGGAGAAAUCCGGAUUAAUACCGCAUAAAAUCACAGGAUGGCAUUAUCCAAUGAUCAAACAUUUAUGGGAUGAAGAUGGGCAUGCGUGUCAUUAGCUAGUUGGCGGGGUAACGGCCCACCAAGGCGACGAUGACUAGGGGAUCUGAGAGGAUGGCCCCCCACACUGGUACUGAGACACGGACCAGACUCCUACGGGAGGCAGCAGUAAGGAAUAUUGGUCAAUGGAGGCAACUCUGAACCAGCCAUGCCGCGUGCAGGAAGACUGCCCUAUGGGUUGUAAACUGCUUUUAUCCGGGAAUAAACCUGCUUACGUGUAAGUAGCUGAAUGUACCGGAAGAAUAAGGAUCGGCUAACUCCGUGCCAGCAGCCGCGGUAAUACGGAGGAUCCAAGCGUUAUCCGGAUUUAUUGGGUUUAAAGGGUGCGUAGGCGGCCUGUUAAGUCAGGGGUGAAAGACGGUAGCUCAACUAUCGCAGUGCCCUUGAUACUGAUGGGCUUGAAUGGACUAGAGGUAGGCGGAAUGAGACAAGUAGCGGUGAAAUGCAUAGAUAUGUCUCAGAACACCGAUUGCGAAGGCAGCUUACUAUGGUCUUAUUGACGCUGAGGCACGAAAGCGU